This 68-nucleotide transfer RNA is filed under the name Badis siamensis. The record is from RNAcentral. Lineage: Eukaryota; Metazoa; Chordata; Actinopteri; Anabantiformes; Badidae.
GUAAAGUCAGCUAAACAAGCUCUCGGGCCCAUACCCCGAAAAUGUAGGCUAAUAUCCUUCCUUUACUA